This 758-nucleotide ribosomal RNA is filed under the name uncultured bacterium. RNAcentral's name for it is "bacterial SSU rRNA". It matches the Rfam family "Bacterial small subunit ribosomal RNA", at positions 8 to 796 of the family's 1533-position model. The record is from RNAcentral.
AGAGUUUGAUCCUGGCUCAGAAUCAACGCUGGCGGCGCGCUUAACACAUGCAAGUCGAACGAGAAAGCAGGGGCAACCCUGUGAGUACAGUGGCGUACGGGUGAGUAACACGUGGAUGAUCUACCCUGGAGUGGGGAAUAACGCUGGGAAACCGGCGCCAAUACCGCAUAAUCCCGAGAGGGCAAAGGAGCAAUUCGCUUCAGGAGGAGUCCGCGGCCGAUUAGCUUGUUGGCAGGGUAAAAGCCUACCAAGGCAACGAUCGGUAGCCGGCCUGAGAGGGCACACGGCCACACUGGCACUGAAACACGGGCCAGACUCCUACGGGAGGCAGCAGUGGGGAAUCUUGCACAAUGGGGGCAACCCUGAUGCAGCGACGCCGCGUGAGCGAUGAAGCCCUUCGGGGUGUAAAGCUCUUUCGGCAGGGAAGAUUAUGACGGUACCUGCAGAAGCAGCUGCGGCUAACUACGUGCCAGCAGCCGCGGUAAUACGUAGGCAGCAAGCGUUGUUCGGAGUUACUGGGCGUAAAGGGUGUGUAGGCGGCCUUCUAAGUUUGGUGUGAAAUCUCCCGGCUCAACCGGGAGGGUGCGCCGAAGACUGGGGGGCUAGAGUGUGGGAUGGGAGAGUAGAAUUCCCGGUGUAGCGGUGAAAUGCGUAGAUAUCGGGAGGAAUACCUGUGGUGUAGACGGCUCUCUGGACCAUAACUGACGCUGAGACACGAAAGCGUGGGUAGCAAACAGGAUUAGAUACCCUGGUAGUCC